UUUAAACCUGAUCACAUGUGUUUCUAUUUAAGACUAGUACGUGCAAAUCAGCACAAUAGACAUUCAGAUGUUUAUCAUGAUCCGAGCUGCCAGUAUUAUAUGGGUUUUAAUGAUAUGUCCUGGAGGUUUUUCUCAGAGUAAUCGUGUUAAACAGAAUCCUCCUGAUCUCUUUGGCAACCAUCAACAAUCUGUUAAAAUCCAGUGUGAGCACAGUGUACCAAGUUAUAAUCAGAUCAACUGGUACAGACAAGACCAGGGACUGACCCUUAUUGGAUAUCAAAUAGGAACAUCAUCAACACAUAUUGAAAAUGAUUUUAAGGCUAAAGUGGAGAUUGUUGCUGUUGGAAGCAAAAACGGCUCUUUGACCAUCAAAAAUCUUUUAUCCAAUGACAGUGCAGUGUACUUCUGUGCUGCUUAUUACACAGUGCUGCAUAUCUGCUUUAUUCAGUACAAAAACCUCUGUGUAAAUAUUCUCAGUAUCUCAUUAACACCUGCUCCUGUGGCCUGGAAUUGACACAUUGCCAGUGUUUUUAACAGAAAA
This is a non-coding RNA of Tachysurus fulvidraco (yellow catfish), 541 nucleotides long. Lineage: Eukaryota; Metazoa; Chordata; Actinopteri; Siluriformes; Bagridae. The record is from the annotation of a RefSeq genome assembly.